GAUGAAGAACGUAGCGAAAUGCGAUAAGUAAUGUGAAUUGCAGAAUUCAGUGAAUCAUCGAAUCUUUGAACGCACAUUGCGCCCGCCAGUAUUCUGGCGGGCAUGCCUGUUCGAGCGUCAUUUCAACCAUCAAGCCCCGGGCUUGUGUUGGGGACCUGCGGCUGCCGCAGGCCCUGAAAUGCAGUGGCGGGCUCGCUGUCACUCCGAGCGUAGUAGUUACAUCUCGCUCUGGGCGUGCUGCGGGUUCCGGGCGUUAAAAGCCUUAUUUACCCAAGGUUGACCUCGGAUCAGGUAGGAAGACCCGCUGAACUUAAGCAUAUCAAUAAGCGGAGGA
RNAcentral lists this unclassified non-coding RNA (334 nucleotides) under soil metagenome. Its description in RNAcentral is "partial contains 5.8S ribosomal RNA, internal transcribed spacer 2, and large subunit ribosomal RNA". The stretch from base 1 to 120 matches the Rfam family "5.8S ribosomal RNA", at positions 35 to 154 of the family's 154-position model. The record is from RNAcentral.